GGAAGGAUGCGAGAGUGGUUUAAUCGGCACGCCUGGAAAGCGUGUAUGGCCGCAAGGCUAUCGGGGGUUCGAAUCCCCCUCCUUCCG
RNAcentral lists this transfer RNA (87 nucleotides) under Candidatus Roizmanbacteria bacterium. RNAcentral's name for it is "tRNA-Ser". It matches the Rfam family "tRNA". From Rfam's summary of the family: Transfer RNA (tRNA) molecules are approximately 80 nucleotides in length. The record is from RNAcentral. Lineage: Bacteria; Candidatus Roizmaniibacteriota.